GAUGAACGCUGGCGGCGUGCCUAAUACAUGCAAGUCGAGCGAACAGACGAGGAGCUUGCUCCUCUGACGUUAGCGGCGGACGGGUGAGUAACACGUGGAUAACCUACCUAUAAGACUGGGAUAACUUCGGGAAACCGGAGCUAAUACCGGAUAAUAUAUUGAACCGCAUGGUUCAAUAUUGAAAGACGGUUUUGCUGUCACUUAUAGAUGGAUCCGCGCCGCAUUAGCUAGUUGGUAAGGUAACGGCUUACCAAGGCAACGAUGCGUAGCCGACCUGAGAGGGUGAUCGGCCACACUGGAACUGAGACACGGUCCAGACUCCUACGGGAGGUAGCAGUAGGGAAUCUUCCGCAAUGGGCGAAAGCCUGACGGAGCAACGCCGCGUGAGUGAUGAAGGUCUUCGGAUCGUAAAACUCUGUUAUUAGGGAAGAACAAAUGUGUAAGUAACUAUGCACGUCUUGACGGUACCUAAUCAGAAAGCCACGGCUAACUACGUG
This 497-nucleotide ribosomal RNA is filed under the name uncultured bacterium. RNAcentral describes it as "partial 16S ribosomal RNA". It matches the Rfam family "Bacterial small subunit ribosomal RNA", at positions 28 to 507 of the family's 1533-position model. The record is from RNAcentral.